AAGAGGUGUUUAGAACAACAAGAACUGCUAAUUCUUAGUACUGAAGUUUAA
This 51-nucleotide transfer RNA is filed under the name Microlophus indefatigabilis. RNAcentral describes it as "partial tRNA-Ser". Lineage: Eukaryota; Metazoa; Chordata; Lepidosauria; Squamata; Tropiduridae. The record is from RNAcentral.